UCUCCGUAGGUGAACCUGCGGAGGGAUCAUUACAGAGUUCAUGCCCUACCGGGUAGAUCUCCCACCCUAUGUUAUUAUUACUUUGUUGCUUUGGCGGGCCGUUAGGCUCCGGCCCGACUACCGGCCCCGGCUGGUAAGCGCCCGCCAGAGGACCCAAAACCCUGAAUAUUAGUGUCGUCUGAGUACUAUAUAAUAGUUAAAACUUUCAACAACGGAUCUCUUGGUUCUGGCAUCGAUGAAGAAGGCAGC
Molecule: unclassified non-coding RNA, 249 nt
Filed under: plant metagenome
Description: partial contains small subunit ribosomal RNA, internal transcribed spacer 1, and 5.8S ribosomal RNA
Rfam family: 5.8S ribosomal RNA (bases 201-249)
Source: RNAcentral